RNAcentral lists this ribosomal RNA (735 nucleotides) under uncultured bacterium. RNAcentral describes it as "bacterial SSU rRNA". It matches the Rfam family "Bacterial small subunit ribosomal RNA", at positions 28 to 776 of the family's 1533-position model. The record is from RNAcentral.
GACGAACGCUGGCGGCGCGCCUAACACAUGCAAGUCGAACGAGCGAGAGAGAGCUUGCUUUCUCGAGCGAGUGGCGAACGGGUGAGUAACGCGUGAGGAACCUGCCUCAAAGAGGGGGACAACAGUUGGAAACGACUGCUAAUACCGCAUAAGCCCACAGGUCGGCAUCGACCAGAGGGAAAAGGAGCAAUCCGCUUUGAGAUGGCCUCGCGUCCGAUUAGCUAGUUGGUGAGGUAACGGCCCACCAAGGCGACGAUCGGUAGCCGGACUGAGAGGUUGAACGGCCACAUUGGGACUGAGACACGGCCCAGACUCCUACGGGAGGCAGCAGUGGGGAAUAUUGCACAAUGGGGGAAACCCUGAUGCAGCGACGCCGCGUGGAGGAAGAAGGUCUUCGGAUUGUAAACUCCUGUUGUUGAGGAAGAUAAUGACGGUACUCAACAAGGAAGUGACGGCUAACUACGUGCCAGCAGCCGCGGUAAAACGUAGGUCACAAGCGUUGUCCGGAAUUACUGGGUGUAAAGGGAGCGCAGGCGGGAAGACAAGUUGGAAGUGAAAUCUAUGGGCUCAACCCAUAAACUGCUUUCAAAACUGUUUUUCUUGAGUAGUGCAGAGGUAGGCGGAAUUCCCGGUGUAGCGGUGGAAUGCGUAGAUAUCGGGAGGAACACCAGUGGCGGAGGCGGCCUACUGGGCACCAACUGACGCUGAGGCUCGAAAGGGUGGGUAGCAAACAGG